AGAGUUUGAUCCUGGCUCAGGAUGAACGCUAGCGACAGGCCUAACACAUGCAAGUCGAGGGGCAGCACGUCUUCGGAUGGUGGCGACCGGCGCACGGGUGAGUAACGCGUAUGUAACCUGCCUACAACAGGGGGAUAGCUCGCUGAAAAGCGAAUUAAGACCGCAUAAGACCACACUAUCGCAUGGUAGAGUAGUAAAAUAUUUAUAGGUUGUAGAUGGGCAUGCGUGACAUUAGCUAGUUGGUAAGGUAACGGCUUACCAAGGCAACGAUGUCUAGGGGUUCUGAGAGGAAGGUCCCCCACACUGGUACUGAGACACGGACCAGACUCCUACGGGAGGCAGCAGUGAGGAAUAUUGGUCAAUGGGCGAGAGCCUGAACCAGCCAUGUCGCGUGCAGGAUGACGGCCCUACGGGUUGUAAACUGCUUUUGUACGGGAAGAAAAAACGCCACGUGUGGUGUCUUGCCGGUACCGUACGAAUAAGGAUCGGCUAACUCCGUGCCAGCAGCCGCGGUAAUACGGAGGAUCCGAGCGUUAUCCGGAUUUAUUGGGUUUAAAGGGUGCGUAGGCGGGAGAUUAAGUCAGUGGUGAAAGUUUGCGGCUCAACCGUAAAAUUGCCAUUGAUACUGGUUUUCUUGAGUACAGUUGAGGUAGGCGGAAUGUGGUGUGUAGCGGUGAAAUGCAUAGAUAUACCACAGAACACCGAUUGCGAAGGCAGCUUACUAAAGUGUAACUGACGCUGAGGCACGAAAGCGUGGGGAUCAAACAGGAUUAGAUACCCUGGUAGUCC
RNAcentral lists this ribosomal RNA (789 nucleotides) under uncultured bacterium. RNAcentral's name for it is "bacterial SSU rRNA". It matches the Rfam family "Bacterial small subunit ribosomal RNA", at positions 8 to 796 of the family's 1533-position model. The record is from RNAcentral.